AUCGAACCAAGGUCUGUAGUAACGCGGUAAUUUCGCUGUGCCACAGGUGAUAUUCCGCCCAAAAUCUGUAUGCCAUGGGCACUCCAACCCUGUUCCUGUAGCUACCCAAGUGCUUAAUUUGGGAAACCAAGUGAAAUCUGUUCGGGAACAUCGAUAGAAACAUGUUUUCACAAUGAAACACAGCCACUCUGCGCGCUGGAGAAAGGAAUGAAGGAGAGAGGGAUGGAUAUGGAAACUCACGAUGGAGGGGUGCGUCACUUGAGUGGUUUGAGUCACUAUCGUGAGCUUCCUGUCCGGGUUGGCGCCCCCCCUUGGGUUGUGCCGUGGGGGAGAUCUUCGUGGGCUGUACCCGGCCUUGUUUUAGGAUGGUAAGUUGGUGGUUGAAGAUAUCCCUCUAGUGGUGUGGGGCUGUGCUUUGGCAAAGUGUGUGAGGUUUUAUCCUGCCUGUUUGGCCCUGUCCGGGGGUAUUGUCAGAUGGGGCCACAGUGUCUCCCGACCCCUCCUUUCUCAGCCUCCAGUAUUUAUGCUGCAGAUGUUUGUGUCGGAGGGCUAGUGUCAGUCUGUUAUAUCUGAAGUAUUUCUCCUGUCUUAUCCGGUGUCCUGUGUGAAUUUAAGUAUGCUCUCUCUAAUUCUCUCUCUUUUUCUCUCUUUCUCUCUUUUUUUCUUUCUCUCUCUCGGAGGACCUGAGCCCUAGGACCAUACCUCAGGGCUACCUGACCUGAUGACUCAUUGCUGUCCCCAGUCCACCUGGUCGUGCUGCUGCUCCAGUUUCAACUGUUCUGCCCUGACCUGUUCAUCGGAUGUGCUACCUGUCCCAGACCUGCUGUUUUCAAUUCUCUAGAGACAGCAGGAGUGGUAGAGAUACUCUGAAUGAUCGGCUAUGAAAAGCCAACUAACAUUUACUCCUGAGAUGCUGACCUUUUGCACCCUCAACAACCACUGUGAUUAUUAUUAUUUAACCCUGCUGGUCGUCUAUGAACAUUUGAACAUCUUGACCAUUUUCUGUUAUCUCCACCCGGCACAGCCAAGAGGACUGGCCAACCCUCGUAGCCUGGUUCCUCUCUAGGUUUUUUCCUAGGUUCUGGCCUUUCUAGGGAGUUUUUCCUAGACAUUGUCCUUCUACACCUGCAUUACUGGCUGUUUGGGGUUUUAGGCUGGGUUUCUGUACAGCACUUUUGAGCCUGUAAUCGAACCCACAAAUGUUGAUGCUCCAGAUACUCAACUAGUCUAAAGAAGGCCAGUUGUAUUGCUUCUUUAAUCAGGACAUCAGCUUUCAGCUGUGCUAACAUAAUUGCAAAUUGAUUUUCUAAUUAUCAAUUAGCCUUUUAAAAUGAUCAACUUGGAUUAGCUAACACAACGUCACAUUGGAACACAGGAGUGAUCGUUGCUGAUAAUGGGCCUCUGUACGUCUAUGUAGAUAUUCCAUAAAAAAAUCAGCAGUUUCCAGCUACAUUAGUUAUUUACAACAUUAACCAUGUCCACACUGUAUUUCUUAUCAAUUUUAUGUUAUUUUAAUGGACAAAAAAUGUGUUUUUCUUUCAAAACAAGUACAUUUCUAAGUGACCCCAAAUUUUGAACGGUAGUGUACAUAUUUUUUACUUUCACUUACUUACUAGUGAAUGCAGCUAGCUAAUUUAGCUUGCUCAAACAAAGGGAUGCUAUGUUAGCUAACUGGCGAUGACUAUCCAACACUGGAACUCUUCCAAGUCAAAGUAAGCUUUUCAUUUGAUAAAUGUAUUGGCACUGCUAAACUGCUUGCUGUACACUGUACUGCAUGAUUUACUAAUGUGUUAGUUCUAGUACCUAUGUUGAGUAUGACAUUAAUGUGGUGAAAAUAGAUGUAGACUGUGUGUAGCGUUUGGCUUGGAAAGGUUUUUUCAUCUGGUCACAGACAGCUGUUGUAAGGUGCACUGAAGUCCACACGAGAAGGGAAAAGGUGAGAGGAGGAGAGAGUGUAGAUGCAAGAAGGAAUUAUAUAUACAAUGAUAGUGAUCAUGCGGUUUAUAUUAAAUGGCAACACACUGCAGUUCAGCGGGAGGGAAAGUCCCUAUCUAACUGUAAAUGCUUUUAAGGGUUUUCGGCUCAUGCUAUACAGUACAAUGAUGGAGUCAAUCCUCAUGCCUCUCAUACACCUAAUGCUCGCAGUUGUCAAAAAUAAAAAUAAAGCCUUAGACAUGAAUUCUAAAAAUAGUAAAGUUGGGAAAAAAGGGAGGCCCGUGGGGCAUGUGUGAUAACCCAGGCAGAAGACCCUGGGUGAGUUCGACUUCUCUGACAGCCUCCCGUUCAGGAAGGGCAAUUAGGAAUUCUUCAGGGCAGGAUUCCUUGGCUGCGUGGAGGCUGGGACCCAGCGCUGUACCAGGCAAAGGUUUCCACCAAGCUGUUCUUGCAUAACCCACAGUGAUAACGCUGGUGCAUUCUUCUCAAGACCCAUCACGGCUGCCAACAUCUCUCUUCCCCCCCCCAAGCCUUCUUUCUUUAGCUCUUGCUUAGAUCCUGUAACCAAGUAGGCUAAGUAAGUGUAUGCAGUCUUUGGAGUUUUUGGAAAGUUUGAAAUUGGCAAAUGAGGUUGGAUAUCAAAGUAUUUGUUUCUGGGUGGAGCAUGGUGGUGUUGUCUUUGUUUUCCUGGGGAACAGGAGACGGCUGAAUUUGUUUCUCUUCCAGAGCACAGGUCAUGUUCAUCAAGAGGUAUGUCACCAGGAGUUAAGGCAGAAGGUGGUCUCAUACCUACUGAGUGUCUUUCUGUCACUAUGACAGGAAACAUGCAUGUCUUGGAAUAAUAUAAUAUAAUCAUUCACAUGCAUUUUACUGUCAUAUAAUUAUUAGUGAGUAUAAUGGAAUGACUUGUUGAAACCAUUUCCUGUCAAAAUAAGUUUUUUGAAAAUAAUGUAGGAGUCUUUCCACGAAUAGAGUACAUUUUGGGUAGUUAACUUGGUUACAAAACAACCAUUCAUUUCACCUAAUUUUAUAGGCCCAGUGCAUUCAAAAUUCAGGUUUCCUGUGUUUUAAAUCAUACUGUACAACAGCUGACAAAACUAGUGUUAAAACAUAUUUGAUCAGUGUUAUUUCCUGAUUUCUCUAUUCUAAUCUAUUUUUCAAGAGAGACCUGGUCCAACCAAGACAGCAGCAGGGGGAAACAAUGUUUGAGACAUAUCAGACUUACUGUAACAACUUACAGACAUGUACUUGCUGGUUGAAAAUAGAAUCUACACAGGACUUUCUAAUCAGCAGGUUUACAUAGGCGGGAGUUGCGGCUUUCCAUGGUGACAUCAACGUGCGGUAAAUUGGUUAAUAGACCAAUAACAGAGUUCCAAACCUCUCUGCCUUUUAACAGCUAGUUUUCAUCCCCCCCCAAUAAUUUUAUAUUUAUACUACUGUUCAACAUUUUGGGGUCACUUAGAAAUGUCCUUGUUUUUGAUAGAAACAGAUUUUUUUGGACCAUUAAAAUAACAUCAAAUUGAUCAGAAAUACAGUGUAGACAUUGUUAAUGUUGUAAAUUACUAUUGUAGCUGGAAAUGGCUUAUUUUUGAUAGAAUAUUUACAUAGGCGUUUAUUUAUCAGCAACCAUCACUCCUGUGUUCCAAUGGCACAUUGUGUUAGCUAAUCCAAAUUUAUAAUUUUAAAAGGCUAAUUGAUCAUUACAAAACCCUUUUGCAAUUAUGUUAUCACAGCUGAAAACUGUUGUUCUGAUUAAAGAAGCAAUAAAACUGGCCUUCUUUAGACUAGUUCAAUAUCUGGAGCAUCAGCAUUUUGGGGUUUGAUUACAGGUUCAAAAUGGUCAGAAACAAAGAACUUUCUUCUGAAACUCGUCAGUCUAUUCUUGUUCUGAGAAAUGAAGGCUAUUCCAUGUGAGAAAUUGCCAAGAAACGGAAUAUCUCGUACAACGCUGUGUACUACUCUCUUCACAGAACAGCACAAACUGUCUCUAACCAGAAUAGAAAGAGGAGUGGGAGGCCCCGGUGCACAACUGAGCAAGAGGACAAGUACAUUAGAGUGUCUAGUUUGAAAAACAGACGCCUCACAAGUCCUCUCCUGGCAGCUUCAUUAAAUAGUACCCACAAAACACCAGUCUUUAACGUCAACAGUGAAGACGCGACUCCGGGAUGUUUGCCUUCUAGGCAGAGUUCCUCUGUCUAGUGUCUUUGUUCUUUUGCCCAUGUUAGUCUUUUAUUUUUAUUGUUCAGUCUGAUAUAUGGCUUUUUCUUUGCAACUCGGCCAAGAAGGCCAGCAAGUGUUAAACAAAUCAAAAAUAUAUUUUGAUUUAACACUUUUUUGCUUAUGAUUUGAUGUUUUAUUUCAUAGUGUUGAUGUCUUCACUAUUAUUAUUAUACAAUGUAGAAAAUAGUCCAAAUAAAUACAUUUCUUGAAUAAGUAGGUGUCCAAACUUUUGACUGGUACUGUAUACUAUACUAAGUGCCAUUAAAGUAACAGGUUGACCGUAAAAGUUGAGGUUUUUAAUCUCAAAGGGCAGCUUAAUGCAGGCUUCACAAUGUAAAAAAACAAUAUUUAGAGCCUAUCUAUCUUUGGGUAACAGGGUUGACAUGUUGCACUCGAUGCACUACAUUUUCCACCACAAACCACCAGAAAAUGGCCAAAAAGAGUAGAACUAGCUCACCUGCUUUUACACUAUGAUUUGAAUAUGUAAAAAAAA
This is a long non-coding RNA of Oncorhynchus tshawytscha (Chinook salmon), 4648 nucleotides long. The record is from Ensembl. Lineage: Eukaryota; Metazoa; Chordata; Actinopteri; Salmoniformes; Salmonidae.